RNAcentral lists this long non-coding RNA (2821 nucleotides) under Homo sapiens (human). RNAcentral's name for it is "HSALNT0329928". The record is from RNAcentral. Lineage: Eukaryota; Metazoa; Chordata; Mammalia; Primates; Hominidae.
GUCUGGAGAAGUUGCCCCCGGGGCUCCAGUCUCAAGGUCCCCACCAGAUCUCCAUCGGGACCCUUUCACGACCCCGAGCCCUUUCCCCAGGAGCUCCCAGCAACCUUCGCGCUUCUCCGGAGGGUGGGGUCUGCCGCGGCGCGGGGGCAGCCUCACCCCACCUCACUGCUGGACUCCGGAGAACCAUUUCUGGGACCGGGAGCUGUCCAGCGCCUCGGGUCCUGACGGACCGCUGAUUCGCCUAGGUGCCAUCGGACAAGCGGGUGCUCAGAGCCAGCUCUGGUGGCUCGGGAGCUUUCCCCCAACCAGGCUAAGACCACUAAACCACGCCUGGCCCGGAUGAGCUUGGAUGCAGCUCCGAACGUGGGGAUCCAUCGGUGCUGAGAACUGACCUAGGGAGCACCUUGACCCCUGCCCUAUCUGGGCACAAUUGAAGGGCCAAGUGCCACCAGCCCACUUUCCUGGAACCCUGUCUCAGACUUGGGCAGGAAGAAGAGCCAUGAGAGAAGAACGAAAUAUAUUUGGGUCUCAGUAAAAAUGUUCUGUGCCACAUUGAAAAAUUGUAUUAUGGAGAUGCAUGUAUUUCUAGAAAUUAUGAAAUGGUGUUAAUCUACAGAAUGUUGGUAUGUGACAGUUCACAAUUGCUUACUUCUUAGUUUUCACUAGAAAUUAAGGAUACUAAAAUUUAAAAUUCAAAUUAAUAUAUGGAAUUAAAACUAUUAGAAAUUAUAAGUGUAACAACUCUGUAUGCAAAUAAUGCAAGGAAAAUAAGAUACAUUGUUGGUAAGGAAAAUUAUAAGGCAUGAGGAUGUGUUUUUCUGUUAGGGGAAAAACGAGUAAUUAAUUCUGCCAUAAAGUAGAAUGACUGAUCUUCCCAGAAUGAGAAAGAGAAAAAUGUAGGGAAAGAAAUGUUGAUGGAUAUAUAUAUAUAUUUUUUGUUUGUUUUUGAGAUGGAGUCUCACUCCGUCAUCCAGGCUGUAGUGCAGUGGCAUGAUCUCAGCUCACUGCAACCUCCGCCUCCCGGGUACAAGCGAUUCUUCUGCCUCAGCCUCCCAAGUAGCUGGGACUACAGGUGUGUGCCACCACACCCGGCUCAUUUUGUAUUUUUUUAGUAGAGAUGGGGUUUCACCAUGUUGGCCAGGUUGGUCUCAAACGCCUGACCUUGUGAUCUACCCGCCUCAGCCUCCCAAAGUGCUGGGAUUACAGGCAUGAGCCACCACGGCCGGCUUGAUGGAUAUUUUUAAAUGGUUGUAAUGGGUUUGAGGAAGGAAAUCUUAGGAAAGGAGUCUUAUCUGGUAUGAUCAAAGCUAUCUGAGACGGGAUAGAUUUAUUCAGAAGACAUUUUUAAAAUUAGCCUUAGCAUUAAUAGUACACUGAUGCAAAACUAGAAUUUGGUCUCCUCUGUCAAAGACAAAGUUUUGGCUGGGUGCAGUGGCUCACGCCUGUAAUCCCAGCACUUUGGGAGGCCGAGGCGGGCGGAUUACCUGAGGUCAGGAGUUCGAGAUCAGCCUGCAACACAGUGAAACCCCAUCUCUACUAAAAACACAAAAAUUAGCCGGGUGUGGUGACACAUGCCUGUAAUCCCAGCUACUCGGGAGGCUGAGGCAGGAGAAUCGCUUGAACCUGGGAAGCGGAGGAUGCGGCGAACUGAGAUCACGCCGUUGCACUCCAGCCUGGGCAGCAAGAAUAAAUCUCCAUUAAAAAAAAAAAAAAAGAAAAGAAAAACAAAGUUUUUUUGAUGGGGGGUAUAUUGGUUUGCUUUUGAUAAGAGAUUAUGAAAAGUUUUUUCAUUACCUUUUAAGUAAUUGGCAUAGAAAACAAAGGUUUUGUGAGCUAUCAAAAUAAUUUUUGGUGCUUCACAUGGUCUCCACUAGGUCUUUGAUUACUUAAGAAAAUGGAGUUCUCUCUAUUAAAAGAACUAAAGGUUUGUUUUUAAAACUAUGUAACCUUCUGUACUUGCCUUUAAAAUAUUUUGUUGCCACUUUGAUUAAAUAGAUAACAAAUAACCUGAUUUAAUCAAGAGUUUUACACCUUUUGAUAUUGUUGACAAACUUCCCCAAAUCAAAUUCUAAAUUAAAUCUUUUUGACCUCAAUCUAAAUUUGGGAGCUUUUAGAGGGCCUCUGGAAUAUCUCAAAAUAAUUUAUUUUCUCUCCUUAUAGAAAGAGAGAUAUUAAACUAAUUUGGCUUAUUUGUGUUUUUUUGUUUGUUUGUUUUUGUUUUUUUGAGAUGGAGUCUCACUCUGUCGCCCAGGCCGGAGUGCAGUGGCGCGAUCUGGGCUCACUGCAAGCUCCACUUCCCGGGUUCACGCCAUUCUCCUGCCUCAGCCUCCCGAGUAGCUGGGACUACAGGCGCCCGCCACCUCGCCCAGCUAAUUUUUUGUAUUUUUAGUAGAGAUGGGGUUUCACCUUGUUUGCCAGGAUGGUCUCGAUCUCCUGACCUCAUGAUCCGCCCACCUCGGCCUCCCAAAGUGUUGGGAUUACAGGCGUGAGCCAUAAUUUGGCUUAUUUGACAUGUUAAAUUUACACGGGAAACAUUGUCAACUAAGAAAUGAUGUUUAACGUUCUUUGAAUUAUAUCUGUAUGGGUAUAUUAUUAAUGUGUGUUCCAAAAACUGUAUAAAAUUCUUAAAAAUCUGAUAUGUUCUCAUAUAAUGUUUUCGGUCAUAAUUUUAGUUAUGUUAAAAUGUUUUAUCCCACAGGAAUAAUCAAAUUUCUUCAUCAGGCCAGGCGUGGUGGCUCAUGCCUGUAAUCCCAGCACUUUGGGAGGCCGUGGCGGGUGGAUCACGAGGUCAGGAGAUCGAGACCAUCCUGGCUAACACGGU